AUUGAACGCUGGCGGCAUGCUUUACACAUGCAAGUCGAACGGUAACAGGGAGCUUGCUCCGCUGACGAGUGGCGAACGGGUGAGUAAUAUAUCGGAACGUACCCAAGAGUGGGGGAUAACGUAGCGAAAGUUACGCUAAUACCGCAUACGAUCUACGGAUGAAAGUGGGGGAUCGCAAGACCUCAGGCUCCUGGAGCGGCCGAUAUCUGAUUAGCUAGUUGGUUAGGUAAAGGCUCACCAAGGCGACGAGCAGUAGCUGGUCUGAGAGGACGACCAGCCACACUGGAACUGAGACACGGUCCAGACUCCUACGGGAGGCAGCAGUGGGGAAUUUUGGACAAUGGGCGCAAGCCUGAUCCAGCAAUGCCGCGUGAGUGAAGAAGGCCUUCGGGUUGUAAAGCUCUUUUGUCAGGGAAGAAACGGGAGUGGCUAAUAUCCGUUCCUAAUGACGGUACCUGAAGAAUAAGCACCGGCUAACUACGUGCCAGCCGCCGCAGUAA
This 500-nucleotide ribosomal RNA is filed under the name uncultured bacterium. RNAcentral describes it as "partial 16S ribosomal RNA". It matches the Rfam family "Bacterial small subunit ribosomal RNA", at positions 30 to 523 of the family's 1533-position model. The record is from RNAcentral.